Molecule: long non-coding RNA, 222 nt
Filed under: Elaeis guineensis (African oil palm)
Lineage: Eukaryota; Viridiplantae; Streptophyta; Magnoliopsida; Arecales; Arecaceae
Description: long non-coding RNA (EGUI_LNC015694)
Source: RNAcentral
GGUUGUCAAAUCGUUGGGAUUAAUCUAUGUCCUUGGCAGGACAAUGUCCCAGGGUGGCUAUGCCGCAUAUCUUUGUCAGGAUUGUCAAAUCGGCUCUAACUCAUCUCGUACUUUAUGAGAGAUCCAAAAUGGUGAACGAGAAAUUGGGGAGCAGCAGAAGUUAAACCCCAACAGGACGCAAAUGAAAAACCCCAAAGGAAAUCGCAAGAAGAUCAACCCAGC